Triticum dicoccoides is the source of this 1878-nucleotide long non-coding RNA. RefSeq lists it as uncharacterized. The transcript has 4 exons. The record is from RefSeq and is a predicted model, not a curated record. NCBI's taxonomy places the organism in Eukaryota, Viridiplantae, Streptophyta, Magnoliopsida, Poales, Poaceae.
CUCCGACGGGAGACGCCGUCGCCGGUCUCUGACGGGAGACGCCGUCGCCGCCGCCGCCGACCUUUGAGGGGAGACGCCGCCGCCACCUGCACUGAACCCCAGGGCAGGGUGCGACGAUCGUCGCAAGGAGUACUUGCCGGCCGUACACAGGUAUUCUAAACCUUACCAUCCUAUUCUCAUCAUUCACAAAUGUGUUCAGAUAGUUGUUGCUUGUGUCGUUCCUGUUACUAGAGGAGGGCUCCACUGUGGCCAUUCGCCACUCUGCCUGCAAGCUCGACGCCACAGUUUGACAGGGCCAAGGUGGUAGUAGACGAUGACGAAUAUGGCGCCCUGGCUGUCUCAGUUCAUGAGAUUCCCCUAUGGUGGCUGAAUUUGUAACACACCAGGCUGCUCCCCUCGUAUUACAAAUCAGAGCUAGCUUAUAUAUUCAUCCAUAGAUCAUGGCUGACUCCAAAGGCAACACUCCUCCAGUCCUCCUGUGCGUGAUGGCAAAGCUAUGCUACAUGAUAUUAUCACGUUAUCAUAUUGCUCACCAAGUCACUAGGCCAGCUUUUGCUGUACUUUUUCUUCAUUUUGUUCAGAUUUAUUUCAUGCCCCAAUGUUCUGUUAUGUGCAGCUAUGAGAUUUUAUUUGAAGAACCAUGGAAAGCAAUUUGAGACGAUGCAUAUAAAGCAUAUUCGAUUUAUUAAGUGUUUUCAAGUAUUCAAUUUAUUAAGAGUUCACUCAUAAUUGCCGACCGUACACAGGUAUUCUGAACCUUACCAUCCGAUUUUCAGAAUAAGAGUUGUCUGUAUAAUUCACGGUGGUUAAAACAGCAGCAUCUGUAGAAUUCCCCUUUGUCCAUGUUGUACCUACAAUUUACUACUAUAUUUGUAGUGCUACUUCAUUUGAAUUUUGUAACCAAAAGAAAUGCAGGCGAGCGAUUCAGGGUUAUUGUUCGAAGUGGCUAUAAUAUGUAGGGGUUAUUGUUCGAAGUGGCUAUAAUAUGUGGCUGCAAACUUGCCGAGGCCAGCAUAAGGAGUGAUGGAGUUAUCUUCUACUUUUAUUUGUUCAUGUUGUCUCAACAAACUGACUUGUGUUUAUGGCGACUUUUUUAUGUGUCCAUGGAUCAGAGAGGAUGGAUGAUGCAGUGGCCACAUCAAGCGCCCUGUGCUCGACCACAAUGGAAAUGCAGUUUCUCAGAGCUAGCAGGAAGGAGGCUGGUGGCUUCCCGUUGUAGUAAGAGACAACACACCAGAUCCGUUGAUGAAGAAAACAACACAUUUCACGAUAUGAUGAUUGGUACUUCCAGUUUUGUUGUACUCUCUCAUUUGCCUUUGUGGGAACGACACUGCUCUAUUGCUUGCUUAUUUAAGAUCAUGCAUAUAUGCCGCAUGUCAGCCUCAUGGGGAUCAAGCAGAUGAGGAGAAGGAAGCAGCAAGGAAGAAGCAAUUUCACAACUCUGGGAAGAGCAUCUGCUGGAGGGCGUCACCUGCGGCAUCACCUGCAUCGACCUCUCGCUGAUUACCAUCCCAAGGAUGCGCGACCGACUGGCGAAGCAGGGCACCAGUGAUAAGUUCACCGAUUUGGUCGACUCACCGUUCCCUGACUCUGUCCACGCAAUGCCGCUCGUUGUUGUUAGGUUGUUAAUUCAUCAGGCCCCUUAUUGCGCUACAUAGUUUGUUCAUCUCGCAUGCCUUCUUAGGAGAAAUCAUGUACUGAAGAUAAGCUAUUCUUUAUUUACAUUUUAUUUAUUUUGCUUUGGAAAUCUUCUGACUACUUGGACGAAUUUUAGUUCCUACUUGUACAGUUGCCUGCAUUUUGUGUUUGAGAAACAUCUGCUGAUUAAGUGUAAAAUAAUACUUGCAAGUUCUGUUUGUUGACUGCGCCAUGAUAAGC